Pocillopora verrucosa is the source of this 555-nucleotide long non-coding RNA. RefSeq lists it as uncharacterized. Lineage: Eukaryota; Metazoa; Cnidaria; Anthozoa; Scleractinia; Pocilloporidae. The record is from RefSeq and is a predicted model, not a curated record.
GGAAAAUCUGGCAAGGAUUUAUACCAGUAUUCAAUUUAGUUCUAUCUGGACAUACCUAUUUUAAUUCUGCCAACAAGACAACUGUUAUUUUGCUUCGUCCGCACGAGAAUGUGAGUCACAAUAGAACAAGUCGCUCAGCCAUGAUAAAACAAUAGCCUCUCGAUCGAUUUCGACCUGAGGGGACCCGUGGUUCUAAAACAAUUUGGGCUUUUCUUAUGUACGUUGAAAACCUCGAAAUGAACAACUCGCUCAAAUGGGCUCUUUUCAUCAAAGUAAGCGGUCAGAUAACAAGCAAUACGCUGUGGAAGCGAGCUGCCCAAACUGAAGUAGAGUAACUUAUUUGCCAAGCACACCGCACCUGUCGGCCGAAGAGGAGAAAGAUGUCAAUUCCGGACUUGUGGGGUGACAAAACAUGGAGAUUUGGGGACAAUUUUAUUUGGACUGGGUCGGUAAAAACCAAUAAUCCAGCCUUCCUCUUGUUAGAGUCGCGAUUAAGUAAUUACUUUGAGGCUCCGAAGGAAGUGAACCACAAAGAAACCAAUGCUACGACGUUAA